RNAcentral lists this ribosomal RNA (375 nucleotides) under uncultured bacterium. RNAcentral's name for it is "bacterial SSU rRNA". It matches the Rfam family "Bacterial small subunit ribosomal RNA", at positions 524 to 898 of the family's 1533-position model. The record is from RNAcentral.
UACGUAGGUGGCGAGCGUUGUCCGGAAUUACUGGGUGUAAAGGGAGCGCAGGCGGGGAGACAAGUCAGCUGUGAAAACUAUGGGCUUAACCCAUAGACUGCAGUUGAAACUGUUUUUCUUGAGUGGAGUAGAGGUAGGCGGAAUUCCGAGUGUAGCGGUGAAAUGCGUAGAUAUUCGGAGGAACACCAGUGGCGAAGGCGGCCUACUGGGCUCUAACUGACGCUGAGGCUCGAAAGUGUGGGGAGCAAACAGGAUUAGAUACCCUGGUAGUCCACACUGUAAACGAUGAUUGCUAGGUGUGGGGGGUCUGACCCCUUCCGUGCCGCAGCUAACGCAAUAAGCAAUCCACCUGGGGAGUACGGCCGCAAGGUUGAA